Molecule: long non-coding RNA, 238 nt
Organism: Amphimedon queenslandica
Lineage: Eukaryota; Metazoa; Porifera; Demospongiae; Haplosclerida; Niphatidae
Exons: 2
Source: RefSeq, a predicted model, not a curated record
AAAGGCUCUUUUCGGGUGAUGGCGGCUAGGAGUUGGUAGUUAUCGUCAGUUAGUGUUUUACCUUGGACAGAUUUGGAUCCAAUUGUUGCUUCACUGUGUUUCCCAGGAGAAAUUAUGAAGUGAAUUGGAAGGAGAUAGGAGGUUAAAAAUUAUUGAUGGUGGUGUUUUAUUAUUAUUAUUAUUAUUAUUAUUAUCACUUUACAACGCACAGAACAAAAAGUAAGGAUAAGUAACAUAA